GUAGGUCCCGAGCGUUAUCCGGAUUUAUUGGGCGUAAAGGGAGCGUAGACGGCUGUGCAAGUCUGGAGUGAAAGGCGGGGGCCCAACCCCCGGACUGCUCUGGAAACUGUAUGGCUGGAGUGCAGGAGAGGUAAGCGGAAUUCCUAGUGUAGCGGUGAAAUGCGUAGAUAUUAGGAGGAACACCAGUGGCGAAGGCGGCUUACUGGACUGUAACUGACGUUGAGGCUCGAAAGCGUGGGGAGCAAA
Molecule: ribosomal RNA, 246 nt
Filed under: uncultured bacterium
Lineage: Bacteria
Description: partial 16S ribosomal RNA
Rfam family: Bacterial small subunit ribosomal RNA
Source: RNAcentral